Long non-coding RNA from Passer domesticus (house sparrow), 2006 nucleotides. RefSeq lists it as uncharacterized. The record is from RefSeq and is a predicted model, not a curated record. Lineage: Eukaryota; Metazoa; Chordata; Aves; Passeriformes; Passeridae. The transcript has 3 exons.
UGGCAGAAGAAUUUGCCAAGACAUUCUUCAUCACUGAUUGUCAGUCCUGGCUACCUGGGGAGAUCCACACAGGUUGGUCACUGUGAUUCCCAUGCACAGGAAGGGCUGGAAGGAAGAUAUGUGAAACUACAGGUUUAUCAGCCUGACCUUGGUCCCAGUGCAGGUUAUGAAACAUCCUGAGUGUGAUCACACAGCACUUACAGGACAGCCUGUAGGGAUCAGAGGGAUAACACGCAGCCGCCACAGCUUAGGAAGGGCAGAUCCUGCCUGAUCUCCUUUGAUGACCUGGUGACACAUCUGAUAAACAAGUGAAAGGAUCUUGAUGUUAUCUACCUGGACCUCAGAAGAGCAUUUGGCACUGUCUCCCUCAGCAUUCUCCCGGAAAAGCUGGCAGCCCACAGCUUGGACAGGUGCACCCUUUGCUGAGUUAAAAACUGCCUGGAUGAUCAGGCCCAGAGAGUGACGGUGAAUGGUGCUGCAUCCAGCUGGCAGCCAGUCACUCUGGGGCUUCCACAAGGCUCACUGUUGGGCACAGUUCUGUUCAAUAUGUUUAUUAUCCUGAUCAAUAACUUAAAAAUUUGGAUGAGGAGAUUGAGUAUACCCUGACUAAAUCCAGAGUCUACACCAAGUUGGGCAGAAAUGUUGAUUCUGCUGGAGGGCAGGAAGGCUCUGCAGAGGAUCUGCACAGGCUGCAUCGAUGGGCUGAGGCCAGUGGGGAGGCUGUGGCCAGGUGGGGGUCAAUCUCCUCUGCCAUUCAACCAGUGACAGGAUGAGAGGAUGUAAGUUCAAGCUGCACCAAGAGAGGUUGGAAUUGGACACCAGGAAGUUUUUCUUCACAAAAAGGCCUAUUCUUUGUAAACACUGAAGAAUGUUGGUCUUAGAAGCAGCACCCUGGGAGACAGCCUUUGUGUGUGAGAAAUUAUUCUUCAACAUUGUAUCUGGAUGAGAAAGAAAGUUUCAUAUCCUAAGGAUAUAUUUAUAAUUAGAAUGGUGUAACUGAAUCAAAGACAUUGUUCUUAGGAAACAGACAUUAGUCUGCUGAGGUUAUUUUAGGGUGGGGCAGAGGGCAACUCUAGGUUUGUUCCAUUAUUAAGAAACCAUUUUUCUCUAUGACGUGGAUUUUUGGUUGUUGUUUUUUAUUGUCCUUUCAUUAGUAUUUAUUAAUUAUGUUCUUCUUAUUCCUUGUAGAAGUAUAGAUUUUCCUUCUUGUCCUGGAGUGGCACAUACAUGUAUAUACUCAGUGCAGAUGAAAAGAAAAUCUCCCACGGCUGGUCUUCCCAUCACAAUUUUCCCACUGGUCACUGGACCAGUCUGGGUGCUGAAGCUGGUGUUACUGCUUCAGUAUCUGCACUUCAAUACUGCCUGAGGUGUCUUCAGGUCUCCUGUGGCACCGCACAAGGGAAACAGAGUGCUCCCAGAGACUUGUGAGUUGUCCCUGGUGAUGGCUGACCAAGGGCCCUGGAAAGGGCUUUGGAGUUCAGCAGUGACAGCGUUUGGGGAAGUGCUCACAGUGAGUCCAUGCAAGCUCUUUCAUUAGAUUGGGUAACAGUCCUAUAUAGCUAUAAAGCACACACAUGAAAGAAUCCAAUGUAAGUUAUACAAAGACAGGUCCCUGCUGCACUUCUAUCAAGUGGAUUUUAACAUGCUGGUGGAGAUUUCUUUAACUGCAUGAUGUCCAUAUAAAACUCAUAUCCAAAAAAUCCUGUUGAAAACCACCUGCUGACAAAUGCUGAGAAACUUCUUCAUUUUAAUUUACAGUUCAGUUUCCAAAUGUUAAAAACAAAUAAGAAGCUGAGAGAAUACAUGUGCUCCUUAAAUAAUAGCUACAGUGUGCCACACCUAAACAGCCAUGACCUAGAUGGCAAGGAGGGUGAAGGAAGGAAGCUCUUUUAUUUCAAUUUUCCAGGCCAACUGUCUUUUUCAUUACACAGUGUUAAUGCCAAGAAGUUCAAAUUAUUCAGCAGAAUUCAUUGUACAAAAUGAAAUAAAUAUAUUCCAUAUGAAAA